UACGGAGGGUGCAAGCGUUGUUCGGAAUCACUGGGCGUAAAGGGCGUGUAGGCGGUCCGCUAAGUCUGAUGUGAAAGCCCGGGGCUCACCCCCGGAAGGGCAUUGGAAACUGGCGGACUCGAGUCCCGGAGAGGAAGGUGGAAUUCCUGGUGGAGCGGUGAAAUGCGCAGAUAUCAGGAGGAACACCCGUAGCGAAGGCGGCACUGUGGGCCGGAACUGACGCUGCGGAGCGAAAGCGUGGGGAGCGAACAGG
Molecule: ribosomal RNA, 253 nt
Filed under: uncultured bacterium
Lineage: Bacteria
Description: partial 16S ribosomal RNA
Rfam family: Bacterial small subunit ribosomal RNA
Source: RNAcentral